RNAcentral lists this ribosomal RNA (1422 nucleotides) under metagenome. RNAcentral describes it as "SSU rRNA". It matches the Rfam family "Eukaryotic small subunit ribosomal RNA", at positions 6 to 1444 of the family's 1831-position model. The record is from RNAcentral.
GGUUGAUCCUGCCAGUAGUCAUAUGCUUGUCUCAAAGAUUAAGCCAUGCAUGUCUAAGUACAGGCUUUGGUACAGCGAAACCGCGAAUGGCUCAUUAAAUCAGCUAUAAUUUAUUAGAUUGUUCUUUACUUGGAUAACUGUGGGAAUUCUAGAGCUAAUACAUGCACAAAAGCUCCGACCUUCGGGAAGGAGUGCAGUUAUUAGACCAAAACCAGCCGAGCUUCGGCUCGAACUGUUUGGUGACUCUGGAUAACAUGAGCGGAUCGCAUGGCCUUGAGCCGGCGACGUAUCUUUCAAGUGUCUGACCUAUCAACUGACGAUGGUACGCGAUAUGCCUACCAUGGUGAUAACGGGUAACGGAGAAUAGGGGUUCGACUCCGGAGAGGGAGCCUGAGAAAUGGCUACCACAUCCAAGGAUGGCAGCAGGCGCGCAAAUUACCCACUCUCAGUACGAGGAGGUAGUGACGAAAAAUAACAAUGCGGGACUCAUCAGAGGCCUCGCAAUUGGAAUGAGCGCACUUUAAAUCGUUCGACGAGGAUCUAUUGGAGGGCAAGUCUGGUGCCAGCAGCCGCGGUAAUUCCAGCUCCAAUAGCGUAUAUUAAAGUUGUUGCAGUUAAAAAGCUCGUAGUUGGAUCUGGGGUUCGGGUCGGCGGUUUGCCGCUUCGGCGGCUACUGCCGUGCUCGACUCUUACUAGCCGGUGCGUCUUGCGGUGCUCUUCAUCGAGUGCCGUAGGAGCCUGGCAUGUUUACUUUGAAAAAAUUAGAGUGCUCAAAGCAGGCGAUUCCGCCUGAAUAGUGUUGCAUGGAAUAAUGGAAUAGGACCUCGGUUCUAUUUUGUUGGUUUUCGGAACUUGAGGUAAUGAUUAAGAGGGACGGUCGGGGGCAUUCGUAUUUCGGUGUUAGAGGUGAAAUUCUUGGAUCGCUGAAAGACGGACAAAUGCGAAAGCAUCUGCCAAGAACGUCUCCAUUAAUCAAGAACGAAAGUCAGAGGUUCGAAGACGAUCAGACACCGUCCUAGUUCUGACCAUAAACGAUGCCAACUAGCGAUCCGCAGUGGUUGCUAUAAACGGACUCUGCGAGCAGCUUCCGGGAAACCAAAGUGUUUGGGUUCCGGGGGAAGUAUGGUUGCAAAGCUGAAACUUAAAGGAAUUGACGGAAGGGCACCACCAGGAGUGGAGCCUGCGGCUUAAUUUGACUCAACACGGGGAAACUCACCCGGUCCGGACACUGUAAGGAUUGACAGAUCGAGAGCUCUUUCUUGAUUCGGUGGAUGGUGGUGCAUGGCCGUUCUUAGUUGGUGGAGUGAUUUGUCUGGUUAAUUCCGAUAACGAACGAGGCUCUAGCCUGCUAACUAGUUGCGCCGUGUUCAUACGCGGCUGUAGACUUCUUAGAGGGACAGGUGGCGUUUAGCCACACGAAAU